Molecule: long non-coding RNA, 376 nt
Filed under: Pelobates cultripes (western spadefoot toad)
Lineage: Eukaryota; Metazoa; Chordata; Amphibia; Anura; Pelobatidae
Source: RNAcentral
UAUUGUGAGAGAAAAUGUGGUUUGGUAGUUGAUGGCAUAUACAUUAGGCCUGAUUUACUGAACAGCAGCCUGAGGUUUGAGAGUUAAAUGUCCCAGGGAGAGAUGUUAUGUUUGCAAGAUGCAUUACUGGUACUCUGCAAACCACGGUAUGGGUCCCUGGGGCGGAGCAGGGUGGGCCAGUGCUCCAAUAGCACCAGCUGCUAAGUAACAGUCGGACCAGAACUUUUAUUUUGCUUAGUAGUUUCACUUAUGUCUAAUUGCAGCUCACCUGUAUCUGAUCAAUUAGCUAGCAGGCUUUUAAAAAGAAGGGAUCAGCAUGCUGCAGAGUGAGGAGGAAAUGCCAGUGGAAUGGUGUCUUGCAGUUAUACAUUUUGUA